This 725-nucleotide ribosomal RNA is filed under the name eukaryote SCGC AAA071-P07. Its description in RNAcentral is "bacterial SSU rRNA". It matches the Rfam family "Bacterial small subunit ribosomal RNA", at positions 81 to 872 of the family's 1533-position model. The record is from RNAcentral.
UGGUAUUUUUUAUCAUGGCGGACGGGUGAGUAAUGCACAAGAAGUUGCCCUUAGAUAAGGAAAGAAUUCCUUUUAAAAGAGUUAUCUCGUCUUUGGAUUUGCUUGUGUAAGAUUAGGUAGUUGGUAGUGAAAGACUUACCAAGCCGUCGAUCUUUAGUUGGUUUGUAAGAACGGUCAACCACACUGGGACUGAGACAAGGCCCAGGCUUUUAAUAAGCCAGCAGUAGGGAAUAUUGGACAAUGAGCGAAAGCUUGAUCCAGCUAUGUUACGUGAGGGAUGACAGCUUAUUUGUUGUAAACCUCUUUUAUAAGGAAAGAUGAUGACUUGCUUUAUGAAUAAGUUCUGGCUAAUUUCGUGCCAGCAGCCGCGGUAACACGAAAAGAACAAGCGUUACUCGUUGUAAUUUGGUGUAAAGGGUUCGUAGGCGGUUUUAAGGUUGUUUAAGGUAAAAUUCAAGAGCUCCAACUUUUGAGCAAGGCCUUAAAAACACUAUUACUUGAGUUUAGCGUAAGAUUAUAGAAUUUCAAAUGUAGAGAUAAAAUUUUAAGAGAUUUGAAGGAAUGUCAAAAGCGAAGGCAAUAAUCUAUUCUAAUACUGACGCUGAGGGACGAAAGAACGGGUAGCAAACGGGAUUAGUGACCCCGGUAGUCCGUUCCGUAAACGCUGAGUGCUCGUACUUAGAUUUUAUAAUUUAGGUGCUACGCUAACGCUAUAAGCACUCCAC